GCAAGUCGAACGGACUAGUUUACUAGUUAGUGGCGAACGGGUGAGGAACACGUAGGUAAUCUACCCUAAACACGAGGAUAACUCCGGGAAACUGGAGCUAAUACUGGAUAGGAUAUAACUGCAAAAGCGGAUAUAUUUAAAGUAGCUUUCGGGCUACGGUAUAGGAAGAACUGCGUCGCAUUAGAUAGUUGGUGAGGGUAACGGCCCACCAAGUCAACGAUGCGUAGCUGGGCUGAGAGGCCGAAC
Molecule: ribosomal RNA, 246 nt
Filed under: uncultured bacterium
Lineage: Bacteria
Description: partial 16S ribosomal RNA
Rfam family: Bacterial small subunit ribosomal RNA
Source: RNAcentral